Molecule: ribosomal RNA, 460 nt
Filed under: uncultured bacterium
Lineage: Bacteria
Description: partial 16S ribosomal RNA
Rfam family: Bacterial small subunit ribosomal RNA
Source: RNAcentral
CCUACGGGAGGCAGCAGUGAGGAAUAUUGGUCAAUGGGCGAGAGCCUGAACCAGCCAAGUCGCGUGAAGGAUGACGGCCCUACGGGUUGUAAACUUCUUUUGUCAGGGAGCAAUUGGGUCCACGCGUGGGCUUAGCGAGAGUACCUGAAGAAAAAGCAUCCGCUAACUCCGUGCCAGCAGCCGCGGUAAUACGGAGGAUGCGAGCGUUAUCCGGAUUUAUUGGGUUUAAAGGGUGCGUAGGCGGAAUAUCAAGUCAGCGGUAAAAUUUCGGGGCUCAACCCCGUCGUGCCGUUGAAACUGAUGUUCUUGAGUGGGCGAGAAGUAUGCGGAAUGCGUGGUGUAGCGGUGAAAUGCAUAGAUAUCACGCAGAACUCCGAUUGCGAAGGCAGCAUACCGGCGCCCAACUGACGCUGAAGCACGAAAGCGUGGGUAUCGAACAGGAUUAGAUACCCGAGUAGUC